Molecule: non-coding RNA, 71 nt
Organism: Parelaphostrongylus tenuis
Lineage: Eukaryota; Metazoa; Nematoda; Chromadorea; Rhabditida; Metastrongylidae
Source: the annotation of a GenBank genome assembly
GCGCCGGUAGUGCAACGGUUCAGCAUGCGCCCGGAUAGGGUAAGAUCUGGGUUCGAAUCCCAGCUGAUGCA